Long non-coding RNA from Lotus japonicus, 1597 nucleotides. RefSeq lists it as uncharacterized. The record is from RefSeq and is a predicted model, not a curated record. NCBI's taxonomy places the organism in Eukaryota, Viridiplantae, Streptophyta, Magnoliopsida, Fabales, Fabaceae. The transcript is spliced from 3 exons.
UAAAUGAGAAUUAUUGGGUAAUAUGAUGAUUGACUUUUUUCAAUGUAAAUAAUUUCAUUAGUAUUCCCUAUAUUAAUUAUGUCAUCAAUGAAAAUAACUAAUAUUUUACCAUUUAAAAUAUGUUGACAAUCCCCAUAAAUGACAAUCAAAUUAGUGAAAGUGAGCAUAGAGUUGGACCUCAAUCCUGUGACUAUGUCUUCACGAGACAGGGGGGAGAGACCUUGGGAUUCUCUUUUCAAUCGCAAGAAGGAAUCAAUUCCUCCAUUUUGGGUUUGGAUGAAACAGAGGUCCAAGAGACGGCUGAGUCUGAGAUGGGAGCGUUGCCGAGUGGGGAACAACCGUUAGCUUCAAGUGAGACAGUGGUGCGACAAGGAAUAGCUAUCGGUGCUGGCCUGGGUCAGGAUGAUUCUUUGGAGUUUUCCAUAACCGGAUUGCCUGUUGCUACCAGAGCCUCCUCUGACUUGUGCCCUGACUCGUUUUUGCAUAAGUGCUACGUCUCUGUUGAGCUGGAAAGAAAUCCAUGUUGUGUAUUGUGCCAGAAAAGCUAUUGAUAGUAUGGAAGGGUUCACAUCCCACGCCCUUGUAUGAUUCCUCAAUAAGGCAGCUUUUUAAGUCAUUUACUUCUGCUACUAUAUGGUGGAGUUUGAUAUGAAGGCCAGUAUUCAAGCUGGUCAUAACGCUCUGUAAGAUCAAAGUUUUGAUCUAGCAGUACAACUCUAUGUUUUGAUGAUUAUAAGUUGACCUUUUGAUAUGAACAAUUGUGGUACUCUAACGUGUUUUUCUGAGUGUGCUAUUUACAGGCUCUGACCUCAACUCAAUCUCACACAAAUCAGAAGCACUGUGUAUAAAGAGCUACCCAAGCAACGCUUUCGCAUUCACUAUGUUCAGUAUGAACAGUGGAAAAGCUUCAGAAGGUCUGAAGUUAUACAAACUCUGAUGUGGACUCAGUCACGAGAAGCUCUGAAGAUCCAGAAAGUCUGAUAACCAAGAAACACUGAAGGCUCAGAUGUUCUGAUGGUGUAGAAGACUCUGAAGAUCCAGAAGCUGAUUAGUGAAGUUCUGAUGUCCAGAAGCAAGAUACUCUGAAGACCAUGUUCUUCCCUCUGAGUUCAGAAUCAGAAGAAACAAUGGUCCGAGGAUCUGGGCUUUCCCUCUGACUCUGAUCAACCGGCUUCACAAGUUCCAAUAUGAAGCAUUCCCCUGAUCAGAAGUCUCCUAGGUUUAAAGGUCGCGUCGCUAUCCAAGUACAAAAGCAUAUGUACUAUCCUGACGACCUACCUAACAGUCUCAGACACAGCAGAAGCUGGAUUUUCCAGAACUGCCCUCCAACGGUAGCAUUUCCCAUGCACCGCUCAACCCUAAUCCUUGGAGUAUAUAAAGAGGCUGAAGACUGAAAGAAACGGCUAGAAGCAUUCACAUACGCGCAAGACAAACUUAAAUUCUUCUAAGCUUUCUUUCAUCUGAAAUUCAUUGAGUUUACUAUUAGCUUUUUAGAAGCAAAUCUCUUGUAAACAAUUCUUUGAUAAACAGUUUGUUUAGUUCCUUUAGGAGAUCAAGGUUGAUCGGAUCCUAGAGAAGACUAAGAGAGUGAAUCUUA